AUACGAAGGGGGCAAGCGUUGUUCGGAAUAACUGGGCGUAAAGCGCACGUAGGCGGAUUGAUCAGUUAGAGGUGAAAUCCCAGGGCUCAACCCUGGAACUGCCUUUAAUACUGUCAGUCUAGAGAUCGAGAGAGGUGAGUGGAAUUCCGAGUGUAGAGGUGAAAUUCGUAGAUAUUCGGAGGAACACCAGUGGCGAAGGCGGCUCACUGGCUCGAUACUGACGCUGAGGUGCGAAAGCGUGGGGAGCAAACAGGAUUAGAAACCCGAGUAGUCC
This 274-nucleotide ribosomal RNA is filed under the name uncultured bacterium. RNAcentral's name for it is "partial 16S ribosomal RNA". It matches the Rfam family "Bacterial small subunit ribosomal RNA", at positions 523 to 796 of the family's 1533-position model. The record is from RNAcentral.